GUACUCAAGCAGAGAAGAAAUCCACAAGUACUCACCAGUCUCCUGGUCUGCAGAGAAGACAGAAUCAAUAUGAGCACAGCAGGAAAAGUAAUCAAAUGCAAAGCAGCUGUGCUAUGGGAGUUAAAGAAACCCUUUUCCAUUGAGGAGGUAGAGGUUGCACCUCCUAAGGCUCAUGAAGUUCGCAUUAAGAUGGUGGCUGCAGGAAUCUGUCGUUCAGAUGACCAUGUGGUUAGUGGUACCGUGGUGACCCCCCUUCCUGCGAUUUUAGGCCAUGAGGCAGCCGGCAUCGUGGAGAGUGUUGGAGAAGGGGUGACUACAGUCAAACCAGAAUUUGUAAAAACCCAGAAAGCAACUACUGCUUGAAAAAUGAUGUGAGCAAUCCUCGGGGGACCCUGCAGGACGGCACCAGGAGGUUCACCUGCAGGGGGAAGCCCAUUCACCACUUCCUUGGCACCAGCACCUUCUCCCAGUACACGGUGGUGGAUGAGAAUGCAGUAGCCAAAAUUGAUGCAGCCUCGCCCCUGGAGAAGGUCUGCCUCAUUGGCUGUGGAUUUUCGACUGGUU
Molecule: small RNA, 564 nt
Filed under: Pongo abelii (Sumatran orangutan)
Lineage: Eukaryota; Metazoa; Chordata; Mammalia; Primates; Hominidae
Description: processed transcript
Source: RNAcentral